Molecule: transfer RNA, 72 nt
Filed under: Lacticaseibacillus manihotivorans
Lineage: Bacteria; Bacillati; Bacillota; Bacilli; Lactobacillales; Lactobacillaceae
Also listed under: 1 other name
Description: Lactobacillus manihotivorans tRNA-OTHER
Rfam family: tRNA
About the family: Transfer RNA (tRNA) molecules are approximately 80 nucleotides in length. Their secondary structure includes four short double-helical elements and three loops (D, anti-codon, and T loops).
Source: RNAcentral
ACGGUAGUAGCUCAGUAGGUAGAGCACUUCGAUGAAAAGAUCGUGUCGCGGGUUCGAGCCCCGUCUACCGUA